GUUGAGUUUUUGAAGCUCUUAGUAAAUCCUGAAUAUUAGUCUUAUGAGUUGUGAGGCAUGAGCUGGUCCUUGACAACAUCAGGAAGCAUAGGUGGAAUACAGGUGGGUGAAAACCAAAGUAAGACAGAUAGUAAAAGAAAAUAAAUAGAGAAGAAAUAACAUAAUUGUCCAUCAGGAACACAGAUUUCCAAAAGAGCUCUGAUAAACUUAACAGGAAACCACCAUGAGAUAGUAUGUCAUCCACGUUAGACCGGCUAUUAUCACAAACACUGAAAAUAACACAUGGAUACAGAAAUAUGAAGAAAGGGCAACUUCUGUGCACUGUUGUUGGGGAUAAAAAUGUGUAUAUCCAUGCUGAAAAAGAGAUCAUUUGAAAAAAACCUAGGUGCUACAACAAUCAUACAUUCCAAUAAAAUCUAUAUUGGUAAUAAAUACCCAGAAGACAUGAUGGGAGUGUACAUCCACAGGACGACGUGAUGGAGUGCACACCCACAGGACGUGAUGGAGUGCACACCCACAGGACGUGAUGGAGUGCACACCCACAGGACGUGAUGGAGUGCACACCCACAGGACGUGAUGGACUCUACACCCACAGGACGUGAUGGGGUGUACACCCACAGGACGUGAUGGAGUGCACACCUACAGGACGUGAUGGAGUGUACACCCACAGGACGUGAUGGACUGUACACCCACAGGACGUGAUGGAGUGCACACCCACAGGACGUGAUGGAGUGCACAUCCACAGGACGUGAUGGAGUGCACACCCACAGGACGUGAUGGAGUGCACACCCACAGGACGUGAUGGAGUGUACACCCACAGGACGUGAUGGAGUGCACACCCACAGGACGUGAUGGAGUGCACACCCACAGGACGUGAUGGAGUGUACACCCACAGGACGUGAUGGAGUGUACACCCACAGGACGUGAUGGAGUGUACAUCCACAGGACGUGAUGGAGUGUACACCCACAGGACGUGAUGGAGUGUACACCUACAGGACGUGAUGGAGUGUACACCUACAGGACGUGAUGGAGUGUACACCCACAGGACGUGAUGGAGUGUACACCCACAGGACGUGAUGGAGUGUACAUCCACAGGACGUGAUGGAGUAUACACCCA
Ochotona curzoniae (black-lipped pika) is the source of this 1117-nucleotide long non-coding RNA. RefSeq lists it as uncharacterized. The transcript is spliced from 2 exons. The record is from RefSeq and is a predicted model, not a curated record. NCBI's taxonomy places the organism in Eukaryota, Metazoa, Chordata, Mammalia, Lagomorpha, Ochotonidae.